CCUACGGGAGGCAGCAGUAGGGAAUCUUCCACAAUGGACGAAAGUCUGAUGGAGCAACGCCGCGUGAGUGAAGAAGGUUUUCGGAUCGUAAAACUCUGUUGUUGGAGAAGAAUGUAUCUGAUAGUAACUGAUCAGGUAGUGACGGUAUCCAACCAGAAAGCCACGGCUAACUACGUGCCAGCAGCCGCGGUAAUA
This 195-nucleotide ribosomal RNA is filed under the name uncultured Lactobacillus sp. Its description in RNAcentral is "partial 16S ribosomal RNA". It matches the Rfam family "Bacterial small subunit ribosomal RNA", at positions 338 to 525 of the family's 1533-position model. The record is from RNAcentral. Lineage: Bacteria; Bacillati; Bacillota; Bacilli; Lactobacillales; Lactobacillaceae.